UGCAGUGCUGCGCUCCGUGUAUUUGACAAGCUGAGUUUGACACUCAAUGUGGCAGAGUGUCAGUUUGUCAAAUACCCCAAGUGAAGCAUUUGCUUA
RNAcentral lists this microRNA precursor (96 nucleotides) under Chrysemys picta bellii (western painted turtle). RNAcentral's name for it is "miRNA (ENSCPBG00000007072.1)". It matches the Rfam family "mir-223 microRNA precursor family". The record is from RNAcentral. Lineage: Eukaryota; Metazoa; Chordata; Testudines; Emydidae. RNAcentral also lists the same sequence under 1 other name.